Molecule: ribosomal RNA, 301 nt
Filed under: uncultured bacterium
Lineage: Bacteria
Description: partial 16S ribosomal RNA
Rfam family: Bacterial small subunit ribosomal RNA
Source: RNAcentral
CAGCCGCCGCGGGAAUACAAAGGGGGCUAGCGUUGCUCGGAAUGACUGGGCGUAAAGGGCGCGUAGGCGGCGAUCAAAGUCAGGCGUGAAAUUCCUGGGCUCAACCUGGGGGCUGCGUUUGAUACUUGAUUGCUAGAGUGGGGAAGAGGGUCGUGGAAUUCCCAGUGUAGAGGUGAAAUUCGUAGAUAUUGGGAAGAACACCGGUGGCGAAGGCGGCGACCUGGUCCUCGACUGACGCUGAGGCGCGAAAGCGUGGGGAGCAAACAGGAUUAGAUACCCCCGUAGUCCCUGUCUCUUAUAC